Molecule: transfer RNA, 68 nt
Filed under: Marmota monax (woodchuck)
Lineage: Eukaryota; Metazoa; Chordata; Mammalia; Rodentia; Sciuridae
Description: tRNA.Ala
Source: RNAcentral
GGUUUGUAGCUCAGUGGUAGAGUGCUUGCCUAGCAUGUGUGAGGUACUGGGUUUGAUCCUCAGCACCA